AUGAGAACCUGCACCCUCCUCCUCAUUGUUGUUGCUGUCGUAGCCGUGGUCUUCCCCGUUGCCACGUCUGCCGCGGGAAACUGGUCUCCGAUCGAAGACAUCAACAGCCCGCACAUCCAGGAGCUAGGCGAGUGGGCGGUGGCCGAACACCUGAAACAGGCCAACGACGGGAUCAAGUUCAGCAAGGUGACGGGCGGCGACUACCGGGAAGAAGCCGGCGUGAGGUAUCGCCUCAUCAUCGACGCGCUCAACCGCGACGGCAAGCACGGCAGGUACGGCAGGUACGGGUCUCAUCUUCUUCAGCCCGGCCAACUAGGCGGCGAGACCAACCAGCUAGCGGGAUAA
RNAcentral lists this ribosomal RNA (345 nucleotides) under Triticum aestivum (bread wheat). Its description in RNAcentral is "partial small subunit ribosomal RNA". The record is from RNAcentral. Lineage: Eukaryota; Viridiplantae; Streptophyta; Magnoliopsida; Poales; Poaceae.